This is a non-coding RNA of Microcebus murinus (gray mouse lemur), 766 nucleotides long. The record is from RefSeq and is a predicted model, not a curated record. NCBI's taxonomy places the organism in Eukaryota, Metazoa, Chordata, Mammalia, Primates, Cheirogaleidae.
AUGCUGUCGGCCCAGGGGAGCCUGGUAGCCAACCGAGGCCGGCGCUUCCAGUGGGCCAUUGAGCUGAGCGGGCCUGGAGGAGGCAGCAGGGGCCGAAGUGACAGGGCAGUGGCCAGGGAGACUCACUUUACCCAGUCGGUUACUUGGACAAGCAAGUGCCUGAUACCAGUGUGCAAGAGACAGACUGCAUCCUGGUGGAGAAGCGCUGCUGGGACAUUGCCUGGGGUCCCUUCAAACAGAUUCCCAUGAACCUCUUCAUCAUGUACAUGGCAGGCAAUACUAUCUCCAUCUUCCCUACUAUGAUGGUGUGUGUGAUGGCCUGGCAACCCAUUCAGGCACUUAUGGCCAUUUCAGCCACUUUCAAAAUGUUAGAAAGUUCAAGCCAGAAGUUUCUUCAGGGUUUGGUCUAUCUUAUUGGGAACCUGAUGGGUUUGGCUUUGGCUGUUUACAAGUGCCAGUCCAUGGGACUGUUGCCUACACAUGCAUCAGACUGGUCAGCCUUCAUUGAGCCUCCUGAGAGAAUGGAGUUCAGUGGUGGAGGACUGCUUUUGUGAACCUGAGAAAGCAGCACCUGGUGCCUAUGUAUUUGGGUCUUAUUUAUAUCCUCCUUUUUUGCCCAGUGGCUCCUCAUCAUACUCUUAAAAUAAUCACUCAUAUUGAAAAAAACCAAAAAGGUCUCUUCUUCAUGGUGAGGAGAUAGAUCCUACUAGGAGGACAAUGUUCACAUUAUUACAAACACAAAUAAACUGUACCACAACCCCUGACU